RNAcentral lists this ribosomal RNA (235 nucleotides) under uncultured Candidatus Saccharibacteria bacterium. RNAcentral's name for it is "partial 16S ribosomal RNA". It matches the Rfam family "Bacterial small subunit ribosomal RNA", at positions 584 to 818 of the family's 1533-position model. Lineage: Bacteria; Candidatus Saccharimonadota. The record is from RNAcentral.
UAAGCAGAUAGUGAAAGCGUGUGGCUCAACCAUACUCACAUUAUUUGAACUGCAAAGCUAGAGGACAAGAGAGGUCACUGGAAUUCCCUGUGUAGGAGUGAAAUCCGUAGAUAUAGGGAGGAACACCGAUGGCGUAGGCAGGUGACUGGCUUGUUCCUGACGCUCAGGCACGAAAGCGUGGGUAGCAAACGGGAUUAGAUACCCCGGUAGUCCACGCCGUAAACGAUGGAUGCUA